This 429-nucleotide ribosomal RNA is filed under the name Gemmatimonadota bacterium. RNAcentral's name for it is "Gemmatimonadetes bacterium partial 16S ribosomal RNA". It matches the Rfam family "Bacterial small subunit ribosomal RNA", at positions 355 to 776 of the family's 1533-position model. The record is from RNAcentral. Lineage: Bacteria; Pseudomonadati; Gemmatimonadota.
UAGGGAAUCUUCGGCAAUGGACGAAAGUCUGACCGAGCAACGCCGCGUGAGUGAAGAAGGUUUUCGGAUCGUAAAACUCUGUUGUUAGAGAAGAACAAGGACGUUAGUAACUGAACGUCCCCUGACGGUAUCUAACCAGAAAGCCACGGCUAACUACGUGCCAGCAGCCGCGGUAAUACGUAGGUGGCAAGCGUUGCCCGGAUUUAUUGGGCGUAAAGCGAGCGCAGGCGGUUUCUUAAGUCUGAUGUGAAAGCCCCCGGCUCAACCGGGGAAGGUCAUUGGAAACUGGGAGACUUGAGUGCGGAAGAGGAGAGUGGAAUUCCAUGUGUAGCGGUGAAAUGCGUAGAUAUAUGGAGGAACACCAGUGGCGAAGGCGGCUCUCUGGUCUGUAACUGACGCUGAGGUGCGAAAGCGUGGGGAGCAAACAGG